This 281-nucleotide ribosomal RNA is filed under the name uncultured bacterium. Its description in RNAcentral is "partial 16S ribosomal RNA". It matches the Rfam family "Bacterial small subunit ribosomal RNA", at positions 1102 to 1382 of the family's 1533-position model. The record is from RNAcentral.
CCCUUGUCCUUAGUURCCAGCACGUCAUGGUGGGCACUCUAAGGAGACUGCCGGUGACAAACCGGAGGAAGGUGGGGAUGACGUCAAGUCAUCAUGGCCCUUACGGCCUGGGCUACACACGUGCUACAAUGGUCGGUACAGAGGGUUGCCAAGCCGCRAGGUGGAGCUAAUCCCAUAAAACCGAUCGUAKUCCGGAUCGCAGUCUGCAACUCGACUGCGUGAAGUCGGAAUCGCUAGUAAUCGCGAAUCAGAAUGUCGCGGUGAAUACGUUCCCGGGCCUU